CUACGGGUCGCAGCAGGCGCGAAACCUUUACAAUGCACGCAAGUGUGAUAAGGGAACCCAAAGUGCUUUGCUUUUAGUAAGGCUUUUGUUAAGAGUAAAUAUCUUGACGAAUAAGUGGUGGGAAAGACUGGUGCCAGCAGCCGCGGUAACACCAGCGCCACGAGUGGCAAUCAUAAUUAUUGGGCCUAAAGCGUCCGUAGCCUGUUUAAUAGGUCUUUUGUGAAAUCGUCGUGCUCAACAUGACGCCGUGCAAAAGAUACCAUUAGACUUGGAACCGGGAGGAGUCAGAGGUAUUUUUGAGGGAGCGGUAAAAUGCUAUAAUCUCAAGAAGACCACCUGUGGCGAAAGCGUCUGACUAGAACGGCUUCGACGGUGAGGGACGAAAGCCAGGGGAGCAAAAGGGAUUAGAUACCCCGGUAGUC
RNAcentral lists this ribosomal RNA (422 nucleotides) under uncultured archaeon. Its description in RNAcentral is "partial 16S ribosomal RNA". It matches the Rfam family "Archaeal small subunit ribosomal RNA", at positions 323 to 746 of the family's 1478-position model. The record is from RNAcentral.